GACGAACGCUGGCGGCGUGCUUAACACAUGCAAGUCGAACGGAAAGGCCCUGCUUUCGUGGGGUGCUCGAGUGCCGAACGGGUGAGUAACACGUGAGUAACCUGCCCUUGACUUUGGGAUAACUUCAGGUAACUGGGGCUAAUACCGGAUAGGAGCUCCUGCUGCACGGUGGGGGUUGGAAAAUUUCGGCGGUUGGGGAUGGACUCGCGGCUUAUCAGCUUGUUGGUGGGGUAGUGGCUUACCAAGGCUUUGACGGGUAGCCGGCCUGAGAGGGUGACCGGCCACAUUGGGACUGAGGUACGGCUCAGACUCGUACGGGAGGCAGCAGUGGAGAGUAGUGCACAAUGAGCGGAAGCCUGAUGCAGCAGCGCCGCGUGCGGGAUGACGGCCUUCUGGUUGUAAACCGCUUUCGCCUGUGACGAAGCGUGAGUGACGGUAAUGGGUAAAGAAGCACCGGCUAACUACGUG
This 468-nucleotide ribosomal RNA is filed under the name uncultured bacterium. RNAcentral's name for it is "partial 16S ribosomal RNA". It matches the Rfam family "Bacterial small subunit ribosomal RNA", at positions 28 to 507 of the family's 1533-position model. The record is from RNAcentral.